AAUUUGUAAAAAUAAAAACUUGAUUCAGUCUCUAUACAAAUUGGAAAAUUAUCGCUAAUAAUUAAAAAAAAAAUGUUAGCUAUUUAUUUAAUAAUAUUCUUAUUAGCAACUGUAUCUACAUCCACCGAGAAUGCCGAAAGAUAUUCGAACACUGACACUGACACAUAUAUUCAAAUUCAUGGAAUUGAAUCAUUUUGUGCAUUUCGGUGUUCAGAUUAUAACUAUGGAAUAUGUUAUAUUUGUGGCUAAUAGAACUUUUAAUGGAAUCGAAUAUUAAAAAUAAAUUAAUAUUUUAUUCAAAUUGAUUUUAUCUUAUC
This is a long non-coding RNA of Gordionus sp. m RMFG-2023, 317 nucleotides long. RefSeq lists it as uncharacterized. The record is from RefSeq and is a predicted model, not a curated record. NCBI's taxonomy places the organism in Eukaryota, Metazoa, Nematomorpha, Gordioida, Chordodea, Parachordodidae. The transcript has 3 exons.